GUAGGUGGCAAGCGUUGUCCGGAAUUAUUGGGCGUAAAGCGCGCGCAGGCGGUCCUUUAAGUCUGAUGUGAAAGCCCACGGCUCAACCGUGGAGGGUCAUUGGAAACUGGGGGACUUGAGUACAGAAGAGGAAAGCGGAAUUCCAAGUGUAGCGGUGAAAUGCGUAGAGAUUUGGAGGAACACCAGUGGCGAAGGCGGCUUUCUGGUCUGUAACUGACGCUGAGGCGCGAAAGCGUGGGGAGCAAACAGGAUUAGAUACCCGGGUAGUCCACGCCGUAAACGAUGAGUGCUAAGUGUUAGGGGGUUUCCCGCCCCCCUUAGUGCUGCAGCUAACGCAUUAAGCACUCCGCCUGGGGGAGUACGGCCGCAAGGCUG
Molecule: ribosomal RNA, 375 nt
Filed under: uncultured organism
Description: partial 16S ribosomal RNA
Rfam family: Bacterial small subunit ribosomal RNA
Source: RNAcentral